GUUUGACUGGGGCGGUCUCCUCCUAAAGAGUAACGGAGGAGCACGAAGGUCAGCUAAUCACGGUCGGACAUCGUGAGGUUAGUGCAAUGGCAUAAGCUGGCUUGACUGCGAGAGUGGCGGCUCGAGCAGGUGCGAAAGCAGGUCAUAGUGAUCCGGUGGUUCUGAAUGGAAGGGCCAUCGCUCAACGGAUAAAAGGUACUCCGGGGAUAACAGGCUGAUACCGCCCAAGAGUU
This 233-nucleotide ribosomal RNA is filed under the name Pantoea agglomerans. Its description in RNAcentral is "partial 23S ribosomal RNA". It matches the Rfam family "Bacterial large subunit ribosomal RNA", at positions 2268 to 2500 of the family's 2925-position model. The record is from RNAcentral. Lineage: Bacteria; Pseudomonadati; Pseudomonadota; Gammaproteobacteria; Enterobacterales; Erwiniaceae.